This 255-nucleotide ribosomal RNA is filed under the name uncultured bacterium. Its description in RNAcentral is "partial 16S ribosomal RNA". It matches the Rfam family "Bacterial small subunit ribosomal RNA", at positions 524 to 776 of the family's 1533-position model. The record is from RNAcentral.
UACGUAGGGGGCAAGCGUUGUCCGGAAUCAUUGGGCGUAAAGAGCGUGUAGGCGGCCCGAUAAGUCCGCUGUGAAAGUCCAGGGCUCAACCCUGGAAUGCCGGUGGAUACUGUCGGGCUCGAAUCCGGAAGAGGUGAGUGGAAUUCCUGGUGUAGCGGUGAAAUGCGCAGAUAUCAGGAGGAACACCAAUGGCGAAGGCGGCCUGCUGGGCAGUUUAGCUGACACUGAGGCGCGACAGCGUGGGGAGCAAACAGG